CCUACGGGAGGCAGCAGUGGGGGAUAUUGCACAAUGGGGGAAACCCUGAUGCAGCGACGCCGCGUGGGUGAAGAAGCGCCUCGGCGCGUAAAGCCCUGUCAGCAGGGAAGAAAAUGACGGUACCUGAAGAAGACGCCCCGGCUAACUACGUGCCAGCAGCCGCGGUAAUACGUAGGGGGCAAGCGUUAUCCGGAUUGACUGGGUGUAAAGGGGGCGCAGACGGCGAUGCAAGCCAGGAGUGAAAGCCCGGGGCCCAACCCCGGGACUGCUCUUGGAACUGCGUGGCUAGAGUGCAGGAGGGGCAGGCGGAAUUCCUGGUGUAGCGGUGAAAUGCGUAGAUAUCAGGAGGAACACCGGUGGCGAAGGCGGCCUGCUGGACUGCAACUGACGUUGAGGCCCGAAAGCGUGGGGAGCAAACAGGAUUAGAUACCCCAGUAGUC
This 440-nucleotide ribosomal RNA is filed under the name uncultured bacterium. Its description in RNAcentral is "partial 16S ribosomal RNA". It matches the Rfam family "Bacterial small subunit ribosomal RNA", at positions 338 to 795 of the family's 1533-position model. The record is from RNAcentral.